Long non-coding RNA from Chroicocephalus ridibundus (black-headed gull), 480 nucleotides. RefSeq lists it as uncharacterized. The transcript has 3 exons. The record is from RefSeq and is a predicted model, not a curated record. Lineage: Eukaryota; Metazoa; Chordata; Aves; Charadriiformes; Laridae.
UCAAAGCACGGUGGAAAACCACGCCAGCUUGAAUCCCUGAUAUACUGGCAGGAACAGGAGGUUUGGUGAUCCUCUAGCAUGGACUGAGAUCUGCAGUGGCUGCAUCCCCGCUUGUGUGCCUUUGUCUGGGUGCUGCUUUGGGGUCCCCCGGUUGGCCAGCUAGAUUAAGGGUCAGAUGUGUGAAAGCUGUGGAUUAAAUUUGGACAGCUGCAGAUGCUAUCCUUGCUAAUGACUCUGCAAGCCAGACUCCCUCCCCUCUCCAAAGCCAGAUCCGUGAACCUGCCUCUGGAUUGCUGCUGCUUUGUGCUUAGUGAUUUAAGAGAUCUUGCGCUGUAACAGCCUGAGACCACUCGGCCUGUCCUUCUUGUGGCAGUGGCAGGAUCAGGGCUGCUGAAGGGGAGCACAGAAGCAAGGGAGAUGUGCAGGACCUCAUGGUGGAGCAUGGCACCACUGCUUAGGCCUGCUGAUGUCAGUGUCUAA